GUGGACGUGGUGCGUGGUGCACCGCUGCUACAACUACUGGUACGCGUUCGGCCAUCGUUUAAUCAGCAGUUUGACGGGGUUCGAUUCCUCGCGUCCGCA
Mycena metata is the source of this 99-nucleotide non-coding RNA. The record is from the annotation of a GenBank genome assembly. Lineage: Eukaryota; Fungi; Basidiomycota; Agaricomycetes; Agaricales; Mycenaceae.